This 382-nucleotide non-coding RNA is filed under the name Ixodes scapularis (black-legged tick). Its description in RNAcentral is "Eukaryotic large subunit ribosomal RNA". The stretch from base 1 to 270 matches the Rfam family "Eukaryotic large subunit ribosomal RNA", at positions 2137 to 2327 of the family's 3401-position model. The record is from Rfam by way of RNAcentral. Lineage: Eukaryota; Metazoa; Arthropoda; Arachnida; Ixodida; Ixodidae.
AUCGCCCAUUUCCAGCAGGGUUGCGAUGGCCGCUGGUCGGUGUUGACGCAAUGUGAUUUCUGCCCAGUGCUCUGAAUGUCAACGUGAAGAGAUUCAUCAAAGCGCGGGUAAACGGCGGGAGUAACUAUGACUCUCUUUGGAAGGGGAAAAUCCAACCGCAGACCUCCACGUGGUCCCUUCUGGGCAUCGGAGUCUAUCUCCGAUGGCAGACGUGCGGCAAUGGUGCACACGGCCGUGUCAUGCAGCCGUGUGUGUGCAACCAUGUAAUGUGUUUGCACCUUGCAUAACAUCGCAAACUGAGCAGCCCUCAGAUUUACUUGUCGUUCGGGUUGCCAGCCCGUUCGACAAAAUUUCACUUGGCCUGGACAGACAAAAGAAAUUA